Molecule: non-coding RNA, 171 nt
Filed under: uncultured Nocardiopsis sp.
Lineage: Bacteria; Bacillati; Actinomycetota; Actinomycetes; Streptosporangiales; Nocardiopsidaceae
Source: RNAcentral
CUGGUGGUUCACCCUUGAGGUGAGGCAAGAGGGAACCCGGUGUGAGUCCGGGACUGCCCCGCAGCGGUGAGCGGGAACGAAGACCGUCAUGAGCACUGGGUCCGCCCCUGACAAGACCUGGGAAGCGAUGGUUGCGUAGGGGGCCCGCGAGUCCGAAUACCUGCCACCGGU